Molecule: long non-coding RNA, 10503 nt
Organism: Loxodonta africana (African savanna elephant)
Lineage: Eukaryota; Metazoa; Chordata; Mammalia; Proboscidea; Elephantidae
Exons: 6
Source: RefSeq, a predicted model, not a curated record
CUUGCGGGUUCCCCCAGGACUAGGGGAAGCCUAAGGCCAUGGAUGGUAAAGCCUAGAGUCUGGACCUGGGAAAUGGUUCUACCACGCGUGAUCGCAGCGCUUAUGCUGGAAAGGAGGGCAGGAAGCGUAUCGUAACGUGCGUCCGGGCGAUGACCCAGAAGGGCGGGAGUUGUGGUCACCCAUGGACUCUGGGUCCGCAUAUGGAGGCCCCCAGGGUGCAAUUCCAGGAGCACAAGGCAAAGCCACAGAGGCCACAGUGCACCUCGCCAAUACUCCCCAGGGGCACUGCCCCAAAUUUGGGGAGCAGUCCUUCCUCUGGGCUAGGGACUUUGUUUCCUCCGUUGUCAUCACUGACUGUGAGCAGACUCUAGUCUGUGCAGACUAAUGAGGAGUUAUCAAAAUGAGCUCCAAACUCCAGAUUUGUUUAGGAUCAUAAAUUAACACAAAGAAAUACGACUUUAGCAAUAAGUGCCUGGUUCAAGCCCAAGUUGCCUGAAAGCAAGGAAUUUCAGUCUUUCAGCUCCUCUGCUAAUCUAGUGACUAGGAACAGGAUCUCACUGGAACUCAAAGGUGUGGGGCACUGGAAAUACUUCUGGGUCUGUCUGCUCAGGGCUGAUUGCCUGGUUCCCAGUUUUAUUAUACAGCUUAAAUAUAGACCAGAAGAGGAGUUUGGGGCUUGAGACCUAUUUCUUGAGGAAGGAAGAGGUAAAAUAAUUCAACGUUUACUGUGUCCUUCUCCAUCCCCGGAAAUCCUCACGAGGACCCUCUCAGGUAAGGACUGACAGGGAGUGGAUUGGUUUACUGCUCGACUUUGUCCUUGAGUCACUUUGUUUAUGUCCUGCAUGUAAACUAUUGUGCACUGAUGGAAGCAUUCUAAUUCUUAUGCAGAAUGACUAGACCCCGUGCAGAAUGACUAUAUUGUGCCUCCCUCAGGCACCCCUGUCUGCACAGCACCCCCCGCCCCCAGCUGCCCAACCGCCUCUCUCCUGGCAUUCUGCUUGUAGAAGUUUGUUCUUUUGAUGCAGAGAUGCAGCACACACAGAAUCCCAGCUGGAUUACAGACUUGAACCUGAAGACCUUAUGCAGAAUGACUAUUUAUGAACCACUAAGCUUUUUUUUAAGCUUAGUACUAAAUCAGGUACUUCCCCCUCAGAGAAGGCCCUGGAGGAGGUUGAUACAUGCAUUCCCCAGUGCUCCUGCUGCUCUGGAAGUGCCUGAAAUGCCUCUCUGCAGAAGGCCUUUGGAGCAGGCACAUGGCCCACAUAGGAAUUCAGGCCUAUUUUUUUUGUUGUUAGAACACCUCAUUUAGCUUUGAAAACAUUACUAUCCAGUUUAUUCACCAUAUUGAGUACAGACAUCUCAGGUAUUUUCAAAAUUAACCCCAUUCUCUAAUACUAAUUUGCCACCAAGAGUGUAUUCCAAAGUGUUCCGAACAGGCUAGAAAAUCUUUCCAAAGAGGAGACUCCUGCGCCGUGUUGUGCAGUGAUUGCAGGGAUGGCAUAAUGUGUUUACCCAGAUACCUACCCCUUUUUUUUUGUUGUUGUGCUUUACUUGAAACUUUACAGAGCAAGUUAGUUUCUCGUUCAACCAUUUAUACACAAUUGUUUUGUGACAUUGGUUGCAAUCCUCAUGAUGUGUCAACACUCUCCUAUGCUCCAGUUCCCCAUUUCCAUCCGCCAUGAUUCCUGUUCCAUCCUGCCCUCUUUUCUGUGCUUUUGGGCAGGUUUUGCACUUUUGGUCUCAUACACAUGAUUGAACUAAGAAACACUUACCUCAUGUGUGUUAUUGUUUGUUUUACAGACCUGUCUAAUCUUUGGCUGAAGGGUGAACUUAAGAAGGUACUUUCGACUUUGUUCCUUUCCGUAAUUCCUGAAAUUCCAAGUCUACCACCUGAAGAACUUCUUUAGCGUUUCAUUUACAACAAGUCUGGUGGCAAUGAAUUCUCUUAACUUUCCUUCACCUGAGAAUGUCAGUAUUUUUCCUUUACUCAUGAAAGAAAUAACAGGAUAUAGAAAGCUGGGUUAAUGUUUCUUUUCUUUCAGUGUUGAAAAAAUGUUUUCACAGCCUUUUGGCCUCCAUGGCUUCUGAUGAUGAAUACAGAGUCAUUCCAAUUGUUUUUCCUGUAUGAAAUGAGUUGGUCCUUGUUAUUCCACAGUUGGCAGUGAGGCAUUUGGGUGUAAAAUUAUGUGAGUUUAACUUGUUGGAGUUUGCAUAGCUUCUUGAAUCUGUAAGUUUAUGUCUUUCAACAAAUUGGGAGUGUUGAGCCAGUAUUUCUUCAAAUACUUUUUUCUACACCACAUAUUUUCUCUACACCUUAUGGAAUUCCAAUAAAUAAACGUUAGAUAUUUUUGGAUUUUUUUGAGGCUCUGUUCAUUUUUUUUUCAAUAUUCUCUGUUUUCAGAUUGGAUAUUUUCAAUUGAACUAUUUUCAUCUCAUUGAUCCUUUUGUCUGUCAACAGCAUUCCGCUGUAGAGCUGAUCAAGUGAAUUUUUUAUCUCUAUUUUUCUAUUUUUCCUGUCUAAAAUUUUCAUUUGUGAAUGGUUUCUAUGUAUUUUUCUAUUUUUCUAAGUUGUGCCUGUUACUUCUUUGAGCGUGGUUAAAGUAGCUUUUUAAAGUUUUUGUCUAUGAUUCCAAGACUGUGUCUUACUUCAAUCUUACAGAAAAUGUCGAUGUUGUUUGUUUUAGGAAUCACUUGACCCAGUUAUGUUCAGGCUGCAGGUUCUUUCCCAACUUCUGUAUGCUGUGGCUCAGAUGUCAGUUCAGAUUUUGAAGACUUUGCAGUGAUAUUUGGAUGUAAUCUAUGGGAGUGUCACUCAGUCUGGGACCUUGUUGGUGUUCUAACCCAUAAUGCAGUUCUCAAAGGAUUGAUCUACUUCUUAGGGUCAGAGCAAAGCAUAUGCAACUGUGGGAGUGGGGGAGGGUAUGAAAAACAACUUUUUGGUAUCCUCUCUUGAGCCACCUGGUCUCUGUCUCUCUGAGGCUCUCUGAUGUCUGAGCAGCUACCUUCCUGGUCCACUGGCAAGAAUGUUGGGGCUUUAAUCUCUUCCUUCUGCCGUGCAAUUAAGUGACUGGGUCUGCCUAUGAGGCCAAAUAACGGUAAGAUGGAGAAAACGUAACAGAGAUUCCUCUAUAUUAUUUGGUCCUUAUAUACUCUGGUCAGAGAGAAGGCACACUGUUUCUGGUGAUACUUUGAAACAGGUAUGGAGAAAAAGGCAUUAACAGGUUGAUAGCUGCAUACUAGGUGUUACGGAUUAAAUUCUGUCUUCCCAAAAUGUAUAUAUCACCUUGACUAGGCCAUGCUUCCCAGUAUUGUGCGAUUAUCCACCAUUUUGUCGGCUGAUGUGAUUUUCCAAUGUAUUGUAAAUCCUACCUCUAUGAUGUUAAUGAGCGAAGAUUUGAAGCAGUUAUGUUAAGGAGGCAGGGCUCAAUCUACAACAUUAAGUUGUGUUUUAAGUCAAUCUCUUUUGAGAUAUAAAAGAGAAAAGAGCAGAGAGACAGGGGGACCUCAGUACCACCAAGAAAGAAGUGUCAGGAGCAGUGCAUCCUAUGGACCUAGGAUCCCUGUGCUGAGAACCUUCUUGUCCAGGGGAAGAUUGGUGACAAAGACCUUCCCCUAGGAGUGACAGAGAGAAAAAGCCUUCCCCUGGAGUUGGCACCCUGAAUUUGGACUUAUAGCCUACUAGACUGUGAGGGAAUAAUUUUCUUUGUUAAAGUCAUCCAUUUGUGGUAUUUCUGUUACAGGAGCACUAGAUAUCUAAGACACUAGGUACCAGGAGAUGUACAUUUCCCAACUCUUUCACUCCCAGGGACACUAUGACUAAGUAGCCAAUGCUAUAAAUCCAUGCGAGCAGACUAUUCUGAUUACUGCUUUGACUCUACUGUCUGUUAUGGUAACCACACCCACCUUGUCUUUGUUGAUUGAGUGCCACCACUUGGCUGCUACCACCAUGGGGACCAGUCAGCUGCAUUGUAGUUAGGUGUCUUAAUUCAGUUAGGGCAGUUCUCACUGUGGACUCUUACUUACAUAAAAUAACAACCACAGAAGUCUUCAGUAAUGCUGGGGCUUGCUUCACAAAUUUGGACCUCACCGCUAUGGUAAAAAGAGAGCCCUCUGGGCACUCCGUGUGUGGGUCUGUGGGUCCAGCCUAAUAAAUCCAUUCAAACAUGCCAAUUUCCCUCAGCCUUUGGAUACCUUCUCCUACAUUACACAGUGGCAGAUCUGCCAUUUCCACUUGAUUUAUUGUAGACCACCACUUAAUACGUGCUUCAGUAAACCAGCCAAAUAAACUAUGAGAUCCUUUUCUAACCUCUCAAGCUGAAACACUGAGUGAAGAAUCUGUGCUUCUUGGGCCUAUAUCAAUAAACUCAGAGUACUCCACCUUUAUGUUGCUUGCACCAUUAUCCCACACCCAGAAUAGCCAUUCCCACACAUAUUCACCAGGUUUCUGUAUGUAUGUAUUAGAAAAAUCAAGCAGUUCUUUUGGAGUUUAGCAUACCGUCUCCUGGGUCACACUUCAUAGUUCACCUUUUGGGGCUUGUUGGGACUGAAGUCUAGGUAUAGGUCUAGAAGCAAAAAUGGGCAGUGGCAGUGGGAUGUUCAGCCCUGUCUUAUAAGGCAUCUGCCUACGGUGAUGCCCCAGGCAAUGCCCCAGAUCCCACCCCAGGAGAUAACUCAAACAAGACACUUCAGGCACAGCUGGGGUAAUCUCAUCAGAUGGAGGUGGAAGGGAUAAUUGUUUUACUGGGAAGGGUGCCUUAGCAGGCAAAGUUAGAGAAUCUCUUCAGAUGGGAGUAAGUGGUCUGGUUCUGUUAGGAAGAGCGAUUCAACGGAAAUUGGAGGUUCAUUGUCCCCCGCUUCCUGACUGUCUGCCCAUAUGUCCUCAUCCCAAGUUUCAGGAUCCCAUUUCUUCCCAAUCAGUGCCCUCACUUUAACUUCGGACACCAUUUGAGGCUGGAUAUUCAACUGGCGCUUUAAUUCAGUCACUCUUAAGAUAAGAAUCUGAGUUUAUUUUUGGCAGCAUUAGCCUUGUUACUAUAAGAAAUAUGGUUUUCUUUCUGGGCACAAGUGGCAGCUUUCAGAUCUUGUAUGUGGUGCUUGAGCUUUGAGUCCAUUUCUUUCAUUCACCAGUGUGGCUAGCAAAAGCAGGACCAACCAAGCAGCUUCCUUAUUAUUCUUAUUCUCACAAAAUUAUAGAAAAGUAUCAAAUAUAUAAUCAGGCAGAGCCUUGUCUCUCACAAGUAUUUGAUCCAGUGGUAGUAGUAUUUUGUGUAUUUCUAUUGUCACCUCACACCAUGGAUUAGCAAUAGCCUGUUUACUUCUGGAGACAGUCAUCAGUGCCUUUAAGACUAGCCAGACUUGAGAAUCAAUUCAGAAAACUCAUCCUUAAGAUUUGGUUCCUCUAGAACCAGUGUAGGUACCAAAUGUCUUAGCCUGGGAUCUGUAGAGGUGCAAAACUAGUGAAGAGAACAUGUAUAUAUAUACACAUAUAUAUGAGUGUGUGUAUAUGUGUGUGUGUUUGUGUAUAUAUAUAUAUAUGGAAACCCUAGUUGCAUAAUGGUUAAUAGGUAUAGCUGCUAACAAAAGGUUAGCAGUUCGAAUCCACCAGGCACUCCUUGGGAACUCUGUGGGGCAGUUCUACUCUGUCCUGUAGGGUCACUAUGAGUUGGAACCGACUCGAUGGCAAUGGGUAUACACACAGACACACACACACACAUAUAUAUGCAUACGUGCAUAUGUUAGUUGUUGUUGCUGUUAGAUGCCAUCGAUCCUGUGUAAAACAGAAUGAAACACUGCCUGAUCCUGAACCAUCCUCACAAUCAUUGCUAUGUUUGAGCCCAUUCUUGCAGCCAGUGUGUCAGUUCAUGUUGUUGAGCGCCUUCCUCUUUUUUUCUGACCCUCAGCUUUUCCAAGCAUGAUGAGCCUCUCCUGGGACAGGUCUCUCCUGAAAAUAUGUCCAAGGCACGUGAGACGAAGUCUCGCCAUCCUUGCUUCUAAGGUACAUUCUUGGUGUACUUCUUCCAAGAUGGUUUUGUUUAUUCUUCUGGCAGUCCAUGGUAUAUUCAGUAUUCUUUGCCAACACCAUAUUUUAAAUGAAUCAGUUCUUCGGUUUUCCGUAUUCAUUGUCUAACUUGCUCAAGCAUGUGAGGUGAUAGAAAAUAUCAUGGCUUUGCUCAGGCACACCUUAGUCCUCAAAGUGACAUCUUUCCUUCACAACACUUUAAGGAGGUCUUUUGCAAUAGAUUUGCCCAAUGCAAUACAUUGUUUGAAUUCUUGACUGCUGCAUCUGUGGGCAUUGAUUAUGGAUUCAAGUAAAAAGAAUUGCUCGAUGACUUCAGUAUUUUCUCUAUUUAUCAUGGUGUUGCUUACUGGUCCAGUUGUGAGGAUUUUUGUUUUCUUUAUGUUGAGGUGUAAUCCAUACUGAAGGCUGUAGUGGUUGCUCUUCAUCAGUAACUGCUUCAAGUCCUCUUUACUUUCAGCAAGCAAGGUCGUAUCAGCUGCAUAUCAUAGGUUGUUAGUGAAUCUUUCUCCAAAACUAAUGCCAUGUUCUUCUUCUUACAGACCAGCUUCUCAGAUUAUUUGCUCAGCAUACAGAUUGAGUAAGUAUGGUGAAAGGAUACCACCAUGACACAUAACUUUCUCAUUUUAAACCAGACAGUAUCCCCUUGCCCUACUCAAAUGACUGCCUCUUGGUCUACGUAGAUAUUCCGCAUGACUACAGUUAAGUGUUCUGGAAUUCCCAUUCUUUGGUAAGCUAUCCAUAAUUUGUCAUGAGCCACACAGUUGAGUGUGCUUGUAUAGUAAACAAAAAUAGGUAAACAUCUUACUGAUAUUCUCUACUUUCAGCCAAGAUCCAUCAGACAUCAGAAAUGAUAUCCCACAUUCCAUGUCUUCCUCUGAAUCCAGCUUGAAUUUUUGGUAGUUCCCUGUCUGUGUACUGCUGCAAUUGUUUUUAAAUUAUAUUCAGCAAAAUUUUUCUUGCGUGUGAUGUUAAUGAUGUUGCGCGAUAAUUUCCUCAUUGCGUUGGACCACCUCUCUUUGGAAUGGGCACACAUAUAGAUCUCUUUCAGUCAUUUGGUCAGGUAGCUGUCUUCCAAAUAUAUUGGAAUAGACAAGUGAGCGCCUCCAGCACUGCAUCCAUGUGUUGAAACAUCUCAUUUGGUACUCUAUCAAUUCCUGGAGCCAUUUUUUUUGCCAAUGCCUUCAGUGCAGCUUGGAGUUCUUCCUUCAGUACCAUCAGCUCUUGAUCCUAUGCUACCUCCUGAAAUGGUUGAACGUCGACCAAUUGUUUUUGGUGUAUUGAGUCUGUGUAUUCCUUCCAUCUACUUUUGAUGUUUCCUGUGUUGUUCGAUAUUUUGCCCAUAGAAUCCUUCAGUAUUGCACCUAGAGGCUUGAAUAUUUCCUUCAGUUCUUUCAGCUUGAGAAAUGCCAGGUGUUUUCUUCCCUUUUGGUUUUCUAACUCCAGAUCUGUUCACAUUAUAUUAUCAUACUUUGUCUUCUCCAGCUUCCCUUUCAGGUAUUCUAUUGAGCUCUUUUACUUUAUUUUUCCUUCCAUUCUCUUUAGCUACUGUACAUUCAAGAGCAAGAUUCAGAGUCUCUUGUGACAUCCUCUUUGGUCUUUGCUUUCUUUCCUGUCUUUCUAAUGACUGUUUUUUUCAUAUAUGAUGUCCUUGCUAUCAUCCCACAACUAAUCUGGUCCUCGAUCCUUAGUGUGCAGUGCAUCAAAUCUAUUCUUGAGAUGGUCUCUAAAUUCAGGUUUGAUAUACUCAAGGACAUACUUUGACUCAUGGACUUGUUUUAAUUUUCUUCAGCUUCAACUUGAACGUGAAUAUGAGCAACUGAUCAUCUGUUCUGCAGUCAGCCCCUGGCCUGCUUCUGACUCAUGAUAUUGACCUUCUCCAUCAUCACCUUCCACAAAUUUGAUUCCUGUCUAUUCUGCCUGGAAUGGUUCAUGAGUAUAGUCACCGUUUAUGUUCCUGAUGAAAGCUUAAAUACAGACCAGAAGAGGAGUUUGGGGCUUGACACCUGACGUCUUAACACCAGUUCCUGUUUCUUGAGGAAGGAAGAGGUAAAAUAAAUCAGCGUUUACUGUGUCCUUCUCCAUCCCCGGAAGUCUUCAUGAAGACCCUCUCAGCUUCUACUUGAACGUGAAUAUGAGCAACUGAUCAUCUGUUCUGCGGUCAGCCCCUGGCCUGAUUCUGACUCAUGAUAUUGACCUUCUCCAUCAUCACCUUCCACAAAUUUGAUUCCUAUCUAUUCUGCCUGGAAUAGUUCAUGAGUAUAGUCACCAUUUAUGUUCCUGACGAAAGACAUUAUGCUCAUUCUCAGGGCCCUGAGACCUCAUCUGCAGCAGGUGAAGGCAUUCGUGGAGAGAGGCGGUUUCCGUGCGUGCAGGCAAAGUGUGUGCUGAGAUGAGUCGCUGGAGACUGGGGUGGACUCCUCAGACCCAGGAUAGGCCUCUGGCAGGCAUUCUAUCAGGCAUUCCAAGCUGUGAAGUGCCUGGGAGGAGAAGGAAGAGAUUUCAGAGAAUGAACACAUACAGAGAGACAGGCAAGAGACGGUGAGUGGGGAUGUCUUGCCUACUGAUAUCCUCAGGAAAGUGGGAAAAUUGGACCCUGGCCUGCUAUGACAAUGCCCUGAAGCAGUCCGCACCAGGGGCUCCCUUGUGCCUGCAUAGCCUUUCCCAGGGUGUGCUCAAAUCCUGUGGCCACUAGGUGUCCUGGGUCACAAUGGAGGGCCCUGUGUCAUCUGCCUGUUGGGCUGGAUCUCUGCCAUUGGCUGAGUCUUGUCACCAGGCCCAUCAUAAGCUCUGCCCACUCUUCCUGUGGGGGGACUGUCUCCAUGGUGAUGGCAAAGAAGCCUGAGUUCCGCCCACCUGGCCUUGACUUCACCUACCUGGCCUGCUGACCCUCACUCAGACCUCUGUGUUGAUCAAAAUGAGUGUCCGCCAGUGGCCAGGUGUCAGCAUCUGGGAUAAAGGAUUGGGGACCUUGCCUGGGGCAGAAGGCAGCCUAGGUCUGUGGGUACCUGGAAGUCUUGUGACUUCUGCCGCUGCUGCCAGUGACAGAUGGUGACUCCCACACUCACAUAUCCCCUGGUGGCAGAAGGAUAGUGAUGGGCGGAGAAACAUGGCUCCGGAGCACACUUUAAAUGCGGCACCAGCCAAAGGCCAGGGCAAGGAGUGGACGUCGUGGAGCUUAAUUGCAAGCCAGUGAAGGGCCCAAGGAUUUCUCCUAUAUGUGGCAAACAGGUCAUCCGUGUCCCCACGUCCAUAAACCACUGGACUGCAGUGCCAGACUGCCAGGAUUUCGGCCUUGCCAUUGGAGCCCGUCCACAUACGCUGCGUUGCACCGGAGGCGGGGACAUGUAGACAGCAAAAAUUUGGAAAAUGGCAUCAUCUCUUCAAUUUCCCUAGCAUUGGCCUUUUUCAGUGGCAUGCUUUGUUUCCUAGUAGGAUAAGGCACUGACGGAGAAAGGCAGGAGUAUGUGUGUAGGAAAGGUGUGUGCCGAAAGGGUGACGACGUUGAGACCACGUUGGGAUCUUUAGUCCCAGGAAAGGCCCCUGGCAGGUGUGGGUCAAUGUUCUCUGCUCAUCCGAGUUGGCGGGGGAGGUUUUCACCAAACAAAGCAGCAGUGGAAUUAUUCGUAGCCUGAGAGGUUGCAUCUGCCCACAAGCUCCACCUGGCCAGGGUCCGCCCCUACUGUAUUGCCCAUGUCAAUCAACAGAAGCUAAGACCUUCCAGAGAGACUACCUGCUAUUGUCUACCCACCGGGAAGCGGUCCAGCCAGAAGCCUCCCCCGUUUCAUCUCCAGGCUCUCUGUCAGGCCCCUCAUACUUGUGAUGUGUCUCAGGGGUAGAAGGAAGAGAUUUCUCUGAAUGAACACAUCCAGAGAGGAGCCAUAGAUGCUGAGGAAGGGCGCCUUGUCUACUGAUAUCCUAGCGUAAGUGUAAAAGAGGUACCUGCCUGCUGUCCCAGUGUGUCGAACGUGUCCACAUCAGGGGUUGGCUACUGUAAAAUUAUUCCCUGGUGCCCUCGAUUUUGUGGCCAAAGACACGAGGGGCCGUUGUGUGUCCAUGGGUACAAUGGAGGGCUCUGCGGAACGGGCUGGUUAGGCUGGACUUCUCCUAUUGGCUCAGUGUUUGUGACUCGUCCCCGUCAGAAGUUCCGCCCAGCCUUCUGGUGGCUGUCUCCAUGAGGAUUGGGAAAGAAGCCCUAGGCCCCGCACUCGGCCUUCACCUGGCCUACCUGGCCUCUUUACCCUCAUCUAGACCGCUCUGUGCAUGAAAGAAAGGAUGUCGGCCACUGACCAAGCAUCCUCAUUUCCUUGGAAGUAUUAGGCUCCUUGCGUGGGCAGAAGACAGCCAAGGUCAGCCUGAGCCUAGACACCUAGUGACCUGUGACACUGCAGCCAGCGAUAGAUGUUGAUGUCCACGCUCAGGUAUCCGCAGUUGACGGAUUCAGAGUGGUCAGAGGAGAAGUGUAACUAGAGAUCACACACUCAUGA